RNAcentral lists this ribosomal RNA (440 nucleotides) under uncultured bacterium. RNAcentral's name for it is "bacterial SSU rRNA". It matches the Rfam family "Bacterial small subunit ribosomal RNA", at positions 29 to 507 of the family's 1533-position model. The record is from RNAcentral.
AGCGAACGCUGGCGGCAUGCUUAACACAUGCAAGUCGCACGGGCGGGGGCAACUCCGUCAGUGGCGGACGGGUGAGUAACGCGUAGGAAUCUAUCCUUGAAUGGGGGACAACCGUGGGAAACUACGGCUAAUACCGCAUGAUGCCUGAGGGCCAAAGACGAAAGUCGUUUGAGGAGGAGCCUGCGUCUGAUUAGGUAGUUGGUGGGGUAAAGGCCCACCCAAGCCUACGAUCAGUAGCUGGUCUGAGAGGAUGAUCAGCCACAUUGGGACUGAGACACGGCCCAAACUCCUACGGGAGGCAGCAGUGGGGAAUAUUGGACAAUGGGCGCAAGCCUGAUCCAGCAAUGCCGCGUGGGUGAAGAAGGUCUUCGGAUUGUAAAGCCCUUUUGGCGGGGACGAUGAUGACGGUACCCGCAGAAUAAGCUCCGGCUAACUUCGUG